GACGAACGCUGGCGGCGUGCUUAACACAUGCAAGUCGAACGGUAAGGCCUUUCGGGGUACACGAGUGGCGAAAGGGUGAGUAACACGUGGUUGAUCUGCCCUGCACUUCGGGAUAAGCCCGGGAAACUGGGUCUAAUACCGGAUAGGACUGCGCGGUGCAUGCCGUGUGGUGGAAAGAUUUAUCGGUGCAGGAUGGGCCCGCGGCCUAUCAGCUUGUUGGUGGGGUAAUGGCCUACCAAGGCGACGACGGGUAGCCGGCCUGAGAGGGCGACCGGCCACACUGGGACUGAGACACGGCCCAGACUCCUACGGGAGGCAGCAGUGGGGAAUAUUGCACAAUGGGCGCAAGCCUGAUGCAGCGACGCCGCGUGAGGGAUGACGGCCUUCGGGUUGUAAACCUCUUUCAGCAGGGACGAAGCGUGAGUGACGGUACCUGCAGAAGAAGCACCGGCCAACUACGUG
This 462-nucleotide ribosomal RNA is filed under the name uncultured bacterium. Its description in RNAcentral is "partial 16S ribosomal RNA". It matches the Rfam family "Bacterial small subunit ribosomal RNA", at positions 28 to 507 of the family's 1533-position model. The record is from RNAcentral.